RNAcentral lists this ribosomal RNA (879 nucleotides) under Bacillus pumilus. RNAcentral describes it as "bacterial SSU rRNA". It matches the Rfam family "Bacterial small subunit ribosomal RNA", at positions 56 to 920 of the family's 1533-position model. The record is from RNAcentral. Lineage: Bacteria; Bacillati; Bacillota; Bacilli; Caryophanales; Bacillaceae.
UGCAGUCGAGCGGACAGAAGGGAGCUUGCUCCCGGAUGUUAGCGGCGGACGGGUGAGUAACACGUGGGUAACCUGCCUGUAAGACUGGGAUAACUCCGGGAAACCGGAGCUAAUACCGGAUAGUUCCUUGAACCGCAUGGUUCAAGGAUGAAAGACGGUUUCGGCUGUCACUUACAGAUGGACCCGCGGCGCAUUAGCUAGUUGGUGAGGUAACGGCUCACCAAGGCGACGAUGCGUAGCCGACCUGAGAGGGUGAUCGGCCACACUGGGACUGAGACACGGCCCAGACUCCUACGGGAGGCAGCAGUAGGGAAUCUUCCGCAAUGGACGAAAGUCUGACGGAGCAACGCCGCGUGAGUGAUGAAGGUUUUCGGAUCGUAAAGCUCUGUUGUUAGGGAAGAACAAGUGCAAGAGUAACUGCUUGCACCUUGACGGUACCUAACCAGAAAGCCACGGCUAACUACGUGCCAGCAGCCGCGGUAAUACGUAGGUGGCAAGCGUUGUCCGGAAUUAUUGGGCGUAAAGGGCUCGCAGGCGGUUUCUUAAGUCUGAUGUGAAAGCCCCCGGCUCAACCGGGGAGGGUCAUUGGAAACUGGGAAACUUGAGUGCAGAAGAGGAGAGUGGAAUUCCACGUGUAGCGGUGAAAUGCGUAGAGAUGUGGAGGAACACCAGUGGCGAAGGCGACUCUCUGGUCUGUAACUGACGCUGAGGAGCGAAAGCGUGGGGAGCGAACAGGAUUAGAUACCCUGGUAGUCCACGCCGUAAACGAUGAGUGCUAAGUGUUAGGGGUUUCCGCCCCUUAGUGCUGCAGCUAACGCAUUAAGCACUCCGCCUGGGGAGUACGGUCGCAAGACUGAAACUCAAGGAAUUGACGGGGGC